AUGCAGCAGCCGCCGCAGGAAAUCCACGCCUACGGCUACAGCGCCGGCGCCGCGCCCGCCCACGGCGUCGGCGUCGUGCCAACGGCCGCCGACGCUUCCCCGCGCCCUGACCAGCCCCGGCCUCCUCCCCCGCGCCGUCGGCUGAGCCCAUUCCGCAUCUUCAUCCUGGCCUUCGUCGGGGCGUGCGCGCUCGCCGGCGUCGUCGCGCUGCUCGUCUGGCUCAUCUACCGCCCCAGCGUGGUCCAGGUGGCCGUGCACGCCGCGACGCUGUCCCUGCUCGUCGCGAACUCGACGGCGGCCCCGCCGGUGCUGUCGUUCACACUCACCGCCGGCCUGAUCAUCACCAACCCCAACAGGCGCGUGGCCGUCUACUACGACCUGCUGCACGCCGAGGGCAUCUACCGCGGCCGGAGCUUCGACCGGAUCUCCCUGCCGAUGUCGUUCCAGGCCGCAAACUGCGCGGACCGCGUGCGGGCCGUGCUCCAAGGGACCUCGGCCGACGACCUGACGGCGGCGGUCUUCCCCGUCGACCUGUGGCUCGACGGGAAAGUGCGGUACAGGUACGGCGGGGCGGUGACGACCUCGGCGAGCACGCUGUCGGUGAAGUGCCCGCUGGUGCUGCAGCUCAUGGUGCCGUCGAGGAGGGUCGAGUGUACCGUGAAUCUGUGA
This 669-nucleotide ribosomal RNA is filed under the name Triticum aestivum (bread wheat). Its description in RNAcentral is "partial small subunit ribosomal RNA". The record is from RNAcentral. Lineage: Eukaryota; Viridiplantae; Streptophyta; Magnoliopsida; Poales; Poaceae.